GACAGAGGUGGCAAGCGUUGUUCGGAUUCAUUGGGUGUAAAGGGUAGGUAGGCGGUUAUGUAAGUCUGAUGUGAAAUCCCAGGGCUCAACCCUGGAACUGCAUUGGAAACUACAUGACUUGAGUACUGGAGAGGCAAGGGGAAUUCCCGGUGUAAGGGUGACAUCUGUAGAUAUCGGGAGGAAUACCAGAGGCGAAGGCGCCUUGCUGGCCGGUUACUGACGCUGAGCUACGAAAGCUAGGGGAGCAAACAGG
RNAcentral lists this ribosomal RNA (253 nucleotides) under uncultured bacterium. Its description in RNAcentral is "partial 16S ribosomal RNA". It matches the Rfam family "Bacterial small subunit ribosomal RNA", at positions 524 to 776 of the family's 1533-position model. The record is from RNAcentral.